GCCUGGGUGGCUCAGUCGGUUGGGCGGCUGACUUCGGCUCAGCUCAUGAUCUCGCGGUCCGUGGGUUCGAGCCCCGCGUCAGGCU
RNAcentral lists this transfer RNA (85 nucleotides) under Felis catus (domestic cat). It matches the Rfam family "tRNA". From Rfam's summary of the family: Transfer RNA (tRNA) molecules are approximately 80 nucleotides in length. Their secondary structure includes four short double-helical elements and three loops (D, anti-codon, and T loops). Lineage: Eukaryota; Metazoa; Chordata; Mammalia; Carnivora; Felidae. The record is from Rfam by way of RNAcentral.